Molecule: ribosomal RNA, 480 nt
Filed under: uncultured bacterium
Lineage: Bacteria
Description: bacterial SSU rRNA
Rfam family: Bacterial small subunit ribosomal RNA
Source: RNAcentral
UUGAACGCUGGCGGUAUGCUUUACACAUGCAAGUCGAACGGCAGCACGGGGCAACCUGGUGGCGAGUGGCGAACGGGUGAGUAAUAUAUCGGAACAUGUCCGGAAGUGGGGGAUAACGUAGCGAAAGUUACGCUAAUACCGCAUAUGCCCUGAGGGGGAAAGGGGGGGAUCGCAAGACCUCUCGCUUUCGGAGUGGCCGAUAUCGGAUUAGCUAGUUGGUGAGGUAAAGGCUCACCAAGGCGACGAUCCGUAGCUGGUCUGAGAGGACGACCAGCCACACUGGGACUGAGACACGGCCCAGACUCCUACGGGAGGCAGCAGUGGGGAAUUUUGGACAAUGGGGGCAACCCUGAUCCAGCCAUGCCGCGUGAGUGAAGAAGGCCUUCGGGUUGUAAAGCUCUUUCAGACGGAAAGAAACGGUCACGGCGAAUACCCGUGACUAAUGACGGUACCGUAAGAAGAAGCACCGGCUAACUACGU